AGCAGCCGCGGUAAUUCCAGCUCCAAUAGCGUAUAUUAAAGUUGCUGCAGUUAAAAAGCUCGUAGUUGAAUUUCGGGACUAAUAUGUCGGUCGUGCCUCGGUACGUACUGGCUUAUUGGUUUCUCCUUUCUGAAGAACCAUGAUGUCAUUUAUUUGGUGUCGUGGGGAAUCAGGACUGUUACUUUGAAAAAUUAGAGUGUUUAAAGCAGGCUCACGCUUGAAUACAUUAGCAUGGAAUAAUGAAAUAGGACGUUUGAUUCUAUUUUGUUGGUUUCUAGGAUCGACGUAAUGAUUAAUAGGGAUAGUUGGGGGCAUUAGUAUUCAAUUGUCAGAGGUGAAAUUCUUGGAUUUAUUGAAGACUAACUACUGCGAAAGCAUUUGCCAAGGAUGUUUUCAUUAAUCAAGAACGAAAGUUAGGGGAUCGAAGACGAUCAGAUACCGUCGUAGUCUUAACCAUAAACUAUGCCGACUAGGGAUCGGAUGAUGUUAAUUUUUAAUGUAC
This 502-nucleotide ribosomal RNA is filed under the name uncultured Glomus. RNAcentral's name for it is "SSU rRNA". It matches the Rfam family "Eukaryotic small subunit ribosomal RNA", at positions 569 to 1079 of the family's 1831-position model. The record is from RNAcentral. Lineage: Eukaryota; Fungi; Glomeromycota; Glomeromycetes; Glomerales; Glomeraceae.